Molecule: ribosomal RNA, 119 nt
Filed under: Triticum aestivum (bread wheat)
Lineage: Eukaryota; Viridiplantae; Streptophyta; Magnoliopsida; Poales; Poaceae
Source: RNAcentral
GGAUGCGAUCAUACCAGCACUAAAGCACCGGAUCCCAUCAGAACUCCAAAGUUAAGCGUGCUUGGGCGAGAGUAGUACUAGGAUGGGUGACCUCCUGGGAAGUCCUCGUGUUGUUCUCU